UUAGAAUGAAUAUUCAUUCGUGAUGCAUCUUUUUUAUUCCACAAGGUAGAAAAGCAAAUUUACAGUAGCGUGACUUCAGUGUUUCUAGUGAUCUUCAUUCCAUCUCUGAAGAGAAUACACCCUAUGUUAUACAACACAUCCACUAGAUACAAUGACAGAACUGAGGCAUAUGGGGAUCGAGUAGUGGGAUGGCAUUACAAACAAUUUCUUUUAGCCCGGGUGGAAGCUACUCAUCGCACCAGAUGGUGAUCG
This 252-nucleotide long non-coding RNA is filed under the name Hordeum vulgare. RNAcentral's name for it is "long non-coding RNA (HVUL_LNC003017)". The record is from RNAcentral. Lineage: Eukaryota; Viridiplantae; Streptophyta; Magnoliopsida; Poales; Poaceae.